RNAcentral lists this ribosomal RNA (253 nucleotides) under uncultured bacterium. RNAcentral's name for it is "partial 16S ribosomal RNA". It matches the Rfam family "Bacterial small subunit ribosomal RNA", at positions 524 to 776 of the family's 1533-position model. The record is from RNAcentral.
UACGGAGGGAGCUAGCGUUGUUCGGAAUUACUGGGCGUAAAGCGCACGUAGGCGGCUUUGUAAGUUAGAGGUGAAAGCCCGGAGCUCAACUCCGGAACUGCCUUUAAGACUGCAUCGCUUGAAUCCAGGAGAGGUGAGUGGAAUUCCGAGUGUAGAGGUGAAAUUCGUAGAUAUUCGGAAGAACACCAGUGGCGAAGGCGACUCGCUGGACAGACAUUGACGCUGAGGUGCGAAAGCGUGGGGAGCAAACAGG